Molecule: ribosomal RNA, 516 nt
Filed under: uncultured bacterium
Lineage: Bacteria
Description: partial 16S ribosomal RNA
Rfam family: Bacterial small subunit ribosomal RNA
Source: RNAcentral
AGCGAACGCUGGCGGCGUGCCUAACACAUGCAAGUCGAACGUGAAAGGGAGCAAUCCUGAGUAAAGUGGCGUACGGGUGAGUAACACGUAGGUAAUCUACCCCAGAGUCUGGAAUAACCUGCCGAAAGGCGGGCUAAUACUGGAUAGAGCGACGGAAUCCGUAAUUGGGUUUUUCGGGAAAGGGAGGAAGCAAUUCCCUUCGCUCUGGGAUGAGCCUGCGUCUGAUUAGCUAGUUGGUGGGGUAACGGCCCACCAAGGCGAUGAUCGGUAGCUGGUCUGAGAGGAUGAUCAGCCACACUGGAACUGAAACACGGUCCAGACUCCUACGGGAGGCAGCAGUGGGGAAUCUUGCGCAAUGGACGAAAGUCUGACGCAGCCACGCCGCGUGAGUGAAGAAGGCCUUCGGGUUGUAAAGCUCUGUCGGGCGGGACGAAAAUACUUGAGGUGAAUAGCCUCAGGGACUGACGGUACCGCCGAAGGAAGCACCGGCUAACUUCGUGCCAGCAGCCGCAGUAA